UCUCCGUUGGUGAACCAGCGGAGGGAUCAUUAUAGAGUUAUUAAAACUCCCAACCCAUGUGAACUUACCAUCGUUGCCUCGGCGGGCCUACCCGGAUCGACCUACCCUGUAGCGAGUUACCCUGUAGCGAGCUACCCGGAGCGGCCUACCCGGAGCGGUCCGCCGGUGGAUUUUUCAACUCUUGUUAUUUUAGUGAAUCUGAGCGUCUUAUUUAAUAAGUUAAAACUUUCAACAACGGAUCUCUUGGUUCUGGCAUCGAUGAAGAACGCAGC
This 272-nucleotide unclassified non-coding RNA is filed under the name uncultured fungus. RNAcentral describes it as "sequence contains ITS1, 5.8S rRNA gene". The stretch from base 224 to 272 matches the Rfam family "5.8S ribosomal RNA", at positions 1 to 49 of the family's 154-position model. The record is from RNAcentral. Lineage: Eukaryota; Fungi.